This 201-nucleotide ribosomal RNA is filed under the name uncultured Thalassiosira. Its description in RNAcentral is "partial Bacterial large subunit ribosomal RNA". It matches the Rfam family "Bacterial large subunit ribosomal RNA", at positions 2069 to 2279 of the family's 2925-position model. The record is from RNAcentral. Lineage: Eukaryota; Bacillariophyta; Thalassiosirophyceae; Thalassiosirales; Thalassiosiraceae.
CCCGCACCUAGACGGAAAGGCCCCGUGAACCUUUACUACAGCUUAGCAUUGACCUUGGUCAUCCGAUGUGUAGGAUAGGCCGGAGGCUUUGAAGCGGGUGCGCCAGCAUUCGUGGAGCCAUCCUUGAAAUACGGCCCUUUGGCUGUCUGAGGUCUAACACGUAAUUUCGUGGACAUUGUUUGGUGGGUAGUUUGACUGGGG